GGCAAGAUGGCCGAGCGGUCCAAGGCGCCAGGUUCAGGUCCACCUGAAUUCCCUUGAAUUAUCACUUCAAGAUCCUCCUGGUCUCAGAAAUGGGGCGUGAGUUCGAAUCUCACUCUUGUCA
This 121-nucleotide transfer RNA is filed under the name Thermochaetoides thermophila DSM 1495. RNAcentral describes it as "Chaetomium thermophilum var. thermophilum DSM 1495 tRNA". It matches the Rfam family "tRNA". From Rfam's summary of the family: Transfer RNA (tRNA) molecules are approximately 80 nucleotides in length. Their secondary structure includes four short double-helical elements and three loops (D, anti-codon, and T loops). Further hydrogen bonds mediate the characteristic L-shaped molecular structure. tRNAs have two regions of fundamental functional importance: the anti-codon, which is responsible for specific mRNA codon recognition, and the 3' end, to which the tRNAs corresponding amino acid is attached (by aminoacyl-tRNA synthetases). tRNAs cope with the degeneracy of the genetic code in two manners: having more than one tRNA (with a specific anti-codon) for a particular amino acid; and 'wobble' base-pairing, i.e. permitting non-standard base-pairing at the 3rd anti-codon position. Lineage: Eukaryota; Fungi; Ascomycota; Sordariomycetes; Sordariales; Chaetomiaceae. The record is from Rfam by way of RNAcentral.